GAUGAACGCUGGCGGCGUGCCUAACACAUGCAAGUCGAGCGAUUCUCUUCGGAGAAGAGCGGCGGACGGGUGAGUAACGCGUGGGUAACCUGCCCUGUACACACGGAUAACAUACCGAAAGGUAUGCUAAUACGAGAUAAUAUGCUUUUAUCGCAUGGUAGAAGUAUCAAAGCUCCGGCGGUACAGGAUGGACCCGCGUCUGAUUAGCUAGUUGGUAAGGUAACGGCUUACCAAGGCGACGAUCAGUAGCCGACCUGAGAGGGUGAUCGGCCACAUUGGAACUGAGACACGGUCCAAACUCCUACGGGAGGCAGCAGUGGGGAAUAUUGCACAAUGGGCGAAAGCCUGAUGCAGCAACGCCGCGUGAGCGAUGAAGGCCUU
RNAcentral lists this ribosomal RNA (381 nucleotides) under uncultured bacterium. Its description in RNAcentral is "bacterial SSU rRNA". It matches the Rfam family "Bacterial small subunit ribosomal RNA", at positions 28 to 418 of the family's 1533-position model. The record is from RNAcentral.